AAAUUGAAGAGUUUGAUCAUGGCUCAGAUUGAACGCUGGCGGCAGGCCUAACACAUGCAAGUCGAACGGUAACAGGAAGCAGCUUGCUGCUUCGCUGACGAGUGGCGGACGGGUGAGUAAUGUCUGGGAAACUGCCUGAUGGAGGGGAUAACUACUGGAAACGGUGGCUAAUACCGCAUAACGUCGCAAGACCAAAGAGGGGGACCUUCGGGCCUCUUGCCAUCAGAUGUGCCCAGAUGGGAUUAGCUUGUUGGUGAGGUAACGGCUCACCAAGGCGACGAUCCCUAGCUGGUCUGAGAGGAUGACCAGCCACACUGGAACUGAGACACGGUCCAGACUCCUACGGGAGGCAGCAGUGGGGAAUAUUGCACAAUGGGCGCAAGCCUGAUGCAGCCAUGCCGCGUGUAUGAAGAAGGCCUUCGGGUUGUAAAGUACUUUCAGCGGGAGGAAGGUGUUGUGGUUAAUAACCGCAGCAAUUGACGUUACCCGCAGAAGAAGCACCGGCUAACUCCGUGCCAGCAGCCGCGGUAAUACGGAGGGUGCAAGCGUUAAUCGGAAUUACUGGGCGUAAAGCGCACGCAGGCGGUCUGUCAAGUCGGAUGUGAAAUCCCCGGGCUCAACCUGGGAACUGCAUUCGAAACUGGCAGGCUUGAGUCUUGUAGAGGGGGUAGAAUUCCAGGUGUAGCGGUGAAAUGCGUAGAGAUCUGGAGGAAUACCGGUGGCGAAGGCGGCCCCCUGGACAAAGACUGACGCUCAGGUGCGAAAGCGUGGGGAGCAAACAGGAUUAGAUACCCUGGUAGUCCACGCCGUAAACGAUGUCUACUUGGAGGUUGUGCCCUUGAGGCGUGGCUUCCGGAGCUAACGCGUUAAGUAGACCGCCUGGGGAGUACGGCCGCAAGGUUAAAACUCAAAUGAAUUGACGGGGGCCCGCACAAGCGGUGGAGCAUGUGGUUUAAUUCGAUGCAACGCGAAGAACCUUACCUGGUCUUGACAUCCACAGAAGAAUCCAGAGAUGGAUUUGUGCCUUCGGGAACUGUGAGACAGGUGCUGCAUGGCUGUCGUCAGCUCGUGUUGUGAAAUGUUGGGUUAAGUCCCGCAACGAGCGCAACCCUUAUCCUUUGUUGCCAGCGGUUAGGCCGGGAACUCAAAGGAGACUGCCAGUGAUAAACUGGAGGAAGGUGGGGAUGACGUCAAGUCAUCAUGGCCCUUACGACCAGGGCUACACACGUGCUACAAUGGCGCAUACAAAGAGAAGCGACCUCGCGAGAGCAAGCGGACCUCAUAAAGUGCGUCGUAGUCCGGAUUGGAGUCUGCAACUCGACUCCAUGAAGUCGGAAUCGCUAGUAAUCGUGGAUCAGAAUGCCACGGUGAAUACGUUCCCGGGCCUUGUACACACCGCCCGUCACACCAUGGGAGUGGGUUGCAAAAGAAGUAGGUAGCUUAACCUUCGGGAGGGCGCUUACCACUUUGUGAUUCAUGACUGGGGUGAAGUCGUAACAAGGUAACCGUAGGGGAACCUGCGGUUGGAUCACCUCCUUACCUUAAAGAA
This 1549-nucleotide ribosomal RNA is filed under the name Salmonella enterica subsp. enterica serovar Enteritidis. RNAcentral describes it as "bacterial SSU rRNA". It matches the Rfam family "Bacterial small subunit ribosomal RNA". Lineage: Bacteria; Pseudomonadati; Pseudomonadota; Gammaproteobacteria; Enterobacterales; Enterobacteriaceae. The record is from RNAcentral.